RNAcentral lists this ribosomal RNA (443 nucleotides) under uncultured bacterium. RNAcentral describes it as "partial 16S ribosomal RNA". It matches the Rfam family "Bacterial small subunit ribosomal RNA", at positions 338 to 795 of the family's 1533-position model. The record is from RNAcentral.
CCUACGGGAGGCAGCAGUGGGGAAUAUUGGGCAAUGGGCGCAAGCCUGACCCAGCAACGCCGCGUGAAGGAAGAAGGCUUUCGGGUUGUAAACUUCUUUUAUCAGGGACGAAGCAAGUGACGGUACCUGAUGAAUAAGCCACGGCUAACUACGUGCCAGCAGCCGCGGUAAUACGUAGGUGGCAAGCGUUAACCGGAUUUACGGGGUGUAAAGGGCGUGUAGGCGGGAAAGCAAGUCAGAUGUGAAAACCAUGGGCUCAACCUGUGGCCUGCAUUUGAAACUGUUUUUCUUGAGUACUGGAGGGGCAGACGGAAUUCCUAGUGUAGCGGUGAAAUGCGUAGAUAUUAGGAGGAACACCAGUGGCGAAGGCGAUCUGCUGGACAGCAACUGACGCUGAGGCGCGAAAGCGUGGGGAGCAAACAGGAUUAGAUACCCGUGUAGUC